CAUGAACGGAAACAACACGAACAAUGUCGUGAGGUGCCAUGACGAGAAGGAGUGACUGAGAGGAUCAUCGAUAAGAUGGAAGCUGAGGCCUGGAGAGAGUCUUCAGGAGGAUCGGAGAUCACCUUUAGCACAGAGAGCUGUGCUACUGGGCUUCCAGGAGAUCGUUAUGAGGAGACUCUGCACAGCAGAAUCUUGAAUAGGAUAAAAGAGUUUCGACGUUGACGUUGAGGAAGACUACUAAGGUGUACGACGUGCUCUGCCUUUAAAAUCUUCAGCAGCGUUGGAACAUGAGAAUCUGAGGGAGCGUGCCAAGCUCCAAAAAGUGACAGCGCAGAGGAGGUCCAGCGAUGGACUUGUGGUUCUGUGAACAGCACAAAUGCCAGGUGACUGUGAAAUAACUAACAGCACUUUUUCCACAAGUGAAGCCAGUAACUUACUAUCCUAAAAGAUUAGCUGUAGUUCCUUGUGCUUUACCUCCAUGUGUGUGAUCAGUAUGUGCAGCGGCUUAAGCUGUACAAUGUUUCAGGAUAUAGUUUUUCACCUUUUUGACACUGUUAGUUCCACACGAGGUAGAUGUCUACUACUGCAGGCUAAAAUUACAUUUCUGUCACCUACAAGACGCUUGUCUUUAAUGUUACUGUUACUCUCACAACCACAUAUUACCAUAAAGUGAUGCACAAUUCUGAAUCCGUCAAACCUUUUGCCAACGAAAGAAGAGGGCACUUCUCAUGAGCGUAGAGAAGGAGUGUAAGCCGAGGGAUGACUUAAUAUAUGUGCCACUUGGUGAGGGAAAAGGUUUGGUUUGUUGAUGGUUUGAGUUUUUACAACAGCAGAGGGACAGACUAAAACAGGUUUUACUGUAGUAGAUGGUGAGAAAGUUAUCUGUACAGGACAACUAGCAUGUUUCAUAUUUGCUUAAGCAGCAGGGAUAGUAGCUUUAACGGAAGCGUGUUAAGCUGCAGAGAAACAAGAUGUGACAAUAUACACUGAUAGCCAGUAUACAUUUGCUACAGUAUAUUUACAUAGAAAUAUACUGUAGCAGUGGGUGAGACGAGGUGUGACAACCGUAAAAAUUACGCUAAACAAAAUUAUAAAGCAAAAACUGAAAUUUUGCUUUAUAAAAACUGAAAAAACUGAAAUUAC
This is a long non-coding RNA of Oreochromis aureus, 1143 nucleotides long. The record is from Ensembl. Lineage: Eukaryota; Metazoa; Chordata; Actinopteri; Cichliformes; Cichlidae.